CGCCCCGCUGCCAAUGUCAAGGUUUUAUUUCUAUCAUAUUUUUUUUACCACCAAAACUGUCAGAUGCUAUUUUUCAAAUAGCCCUAUCCUACUAUUUGAUACAAAAUCUAACGAAAUGAAUACUUUACAUUUCUUGUGGGCUGCCCACAGGGAAGAAUUGCGGAGAAGGCGGAAAAUGCGAGAAUUAGCCAGAAUAUAUGAAGAAAAUUUUGAAGACAUGCCAGAGCUUCUGUUCAGGCAACGUUACAGGCUUAACAAAGGCCAAUUUCAGGAGCUUUGUCAUAUAUUGAAACAGGAAACCUCUUUGCGGGGAAAUACAAUAAUUUCUCUGGAAUCCAAGAUGAGCUGCCUGCAGGAUCUGUUGCAACAGCCACUUUUCUGGAGCAUUUUAACAAUUUAUUUGAUUUACUUAAUGCGCAUGCAUUCACCAGACUGGCAAGAAGGGAAGCAAUCAGUGUGUAUAAUAUUAAUUAAAAGAUUUUGUUUAAUAGAGAACAGAAGGUUCUCCACUGAAUCUGCCUAGUAAAGGCUGCCAAAAAAAAAUAAAAAUAUUAAAAAAUUCAUA
This is a long non-coding RNA of Ostrinia nubilalis (European corn borer), 565 nucleotides long. RefSeq lists it as uncharacterized. The record is from RefSeq and is a predicted model, not a curated record. Lineage: Eukaryota; Metazoa; Arthropoda; Insecta; Lepidoptera; Crambidae. The transcript is spliced from 2 exons.